CUCAUGAUAGGGCAGCAGUUCGAUUUUUUCGACAUUACCCAUAUCGCGGGUAAACUUACCCAGGCGAUGUGCGGAAUCAUCGUCGUCAGACCA
RNAcentral lists this transfer RNA (93 nucleotides) under Salmonella enterica subsp. indica. Its description in RNAcentral is "tRNA-Gly(acc)". The record is from RNAcentral. Lineage: Bacteria; Pseudomonadati; Pseudomonadota; Gammaproteobacteria; Enterobacterales; Enterobacteriaceae.